UAAGGAAUAUUGGACAAUGGACGGAAGUCUGAUCCAGCCAUGCCGCGUGAAGGAUGAAGGCGCUCUGCGUUGUAAACUUCUUUUAGGUGGGAACAAACCUCUCGAUGCGUUGAGAGCUGAGGGUACCAUCAGAAUAAGCACCGGCUAACUCCGUGCCAGCAGCCGCGGUAAUACGGAGGGUGCAAGCGUUAUCCGGAAUCACUGGGUUUAAAGGGUGCGUAGGCGGUCUUGUAAGUCAGUCGUGAAAUCGCUGGGCUCAACCCAUGCAACUGCGAUUGAUACUGCUUGACUUGAAUAAGGUUGAGGUAGGCGGAAUGUGGCAUGUAGCGGUGAAAUGCUUAGAUAUGCCAUAGAACACCGAUUGCGAAGGCAGCUUGCUGGACCUUUAUUGACGCUGAGG
This 400-nucleotide ribosomal RNA is filed under the name uncultured bacterium. RNAcentral describes it as "bacterial SSU rRNA". It matches the Rfam family "Bacterial small subunit ribosomal RNA", at positions 355 to 751 of the family's 1533-position model. The record is from RNAcentral.